Molecule: non-coding RNA, 433 nt
Organism: Pelobates cultripes (western spadefoot toad)
Lineage: Eukaryota; Metazoa; Chordata; Amphibia; Anura; Pelobatidae
Source: the annotation of a GenBank genome assembly
CGCACACACUCUCCCUACAGACAAGCCCAUUGACACACACAUGCUCCCUACAGAAGAGCUUACUAACACAGAUUCACUACAGACAAGCUCACUGACACACCCAUGCUCACUACAGACAAGCUCACUGACACACACGCUCACUACAGACAAGCUCACUGACACAUAUGGUCACUACAGACAAGCUCACUGACACACACGCUCACUACAGACAAGCUCACUGAUGCGCACACACUCUCCCUACAGACAAGCCCAUUGACACACACAUGCUCCCUACAGAAGAGCUCACUAACACAGAUUCACUACAGACAAGCUCACUGACACACCCAUGCUCACUACAGACAAGCUCACUGACACAUAUGGUCACUACAGACAAGCUCACUGACACACACGCUCACUACAGACAAGCUCACUGACACAUAUGGUCACUACAGAC